This is a long non-coding RNA of Plectropomus leopardus (leopard coralgrouper), 398 nucleotides long. RefSeq lists it as uncharacterized. The record is from RefSeq and is a predicted model, not a curated record. Lineage: Eukaryota; Metazoa; Chordata; Actinopteri; Perciformes; Serranidae.
AUUACAGCCUUCAAGCGCCGUGUGUUUGGUUAAAUAUUAGUUUUAUGCUUCGAUAAAUCCGUUUAUGGCCACAUUUGAACUUUGUUUUGGUAGCCUAGAGGCCUAUUCACUCGUGGGAAUGUUUGUUUGGGUAUUUUUUAUUUCGUUUUGAGGCGACAGUCGGACACAUCAGUUUAGCUUUAUCCAUUAACCCUCCACACAUCCUGCAAAUCAGUCGACAUCCGAAACACCCUGAACAUCACACAAACGUGAGGAAGAGUAACAGUGCCACCUAGUUUAGGAGAGGGAUCCUCUUCACUGUCCAAGCUCUGAGGCAACAACCACCCUUAAUGAUCAUGGGGGGCUGAAACUCAGCUGACACUGGGUGAGAGGCAGUGUACACCAUGGACAGUCAGGCU